AGAGUUUGAUCCUGGCUCAGGAUGAACGCUGGCGGCGUGCCUAAUACAUGCAAGUCGAGCGAACCACUUCGGUGGUGAGCGGCGAACGGGUGAGUAACACGUAGGUGAUCUGCCCAUCAGACGGGGACAACGAUUGGAAACGAUCGCUAAUACCGGAUAGGACGAAAGUUUAAAGGUGCUUCUGGCACCGCUGAUGGAUGAGCCUGCGGCGCAUUAGCUAGUUGGUAGGCUAAAGGCCUACCAAGGCGACGAUGCGUAGCCGACCUGAGAGGGUGAACGGCCACACUGGGACUGAGACACGGCCCAGACUCCUACGGGAGGCAGCAGUAGGGAAUCUUCGGCAAUGGGCGAAAGCCUGACCGAGCAACGCCGCGUGAAUGAUGAAGGCCUUCGGGUUGUAAAAUUCUGUUAUAAGGGAAGAACGACUUUAGCAGGAAAUGGCUAGAGUGUGACGGUACCUUAUGAGAAAGCCACGGCUAACUACGUGCCAGCAGCCGCGGUAAUACGUAGGUGGCGAGCGUUAUCCGGAAUUAUUGGGCGUAAAGAGCGCGCAGGUGGUUGAUUAAGUCUGAUGUGAAAGCCUACGGCUUAACCGUGGAGGGUCAUUGGAAACUGGUCGACUUGAGUGCAGAAGAGGGAAGUGGAAUUCCAUGUGUAGCGGUGAAAUGCGUAGAGAUAUGGAGGAACACCAGUGGCGAAGGCGGCUUCCUGGUCUGUAACUGACACUGAGGCGCGAAAGCGUGGGGAGCAAACGGGAUUAGAUACCCUGGUAGUCCACGCCGUAAACGAUGAGUGCUAAGUGUUGGGGGUCGAACCUCAGUGCUGAAGUUAACGCAUUAAGCACUCCGCCUGGGGAGUACGGUCGCAAGACUGAAACUCAAAGGAAUUGACGG
RNAcentral lists this ribosomal RNA (893 nucleotides) under uncultured bacterium. RNAcentral's name for it is "bacterial SSU rRNA". It matches the Rfam family "Bacterial small subunit ribosomal RNA", at positions 8 to 916 of the family's 1533-position model. The record is from RNAcentral.